AAGAUAAAUAGCACAAUAUCCGAAAUGGAAAAUACACUAGAAGGACUUGAUGGCAGAAUAAUGGAGGCAUAAGAACAAAUAACUGAGUUUUGGAAAUUAUUGCCACAGAAAAGAAUAAAGAAUGAAAAGAACUGAGGAGAGUCUAAGAGACUUCUAGGACAACAUUAAAUGUACCAAUAUUCACAUCAUUGUGGUUCUAGAAGGAAAAGAAAGAGAGAAAAGGCCAGAAAAAAUACUUGAAGAGAUUAUAGCUGAAACUUUCCCUAAUAUGGGAAAGGAAACACUCAUUCAAAUUGAGGAAGCACAGAGAAUCCCAUACAAGCUAAAUCCAAGGAGAAACAGUGAGAGACAUACUAAUCAAACUGAAAAAAAAAAAUUACAAAUAAAAAAAUUAAAAACCACAAAGGAAAAGCAACAAAUCACAUACAAGCGAACCCCUAUGAAGAUAAGAGCUUCUUUUUCAGCAGAAACUCUACAAGCCAGAAGGGAAUGGCAAGAUAUAUUUGAGGAGGAGGAACCUAGAGCCAAGAAGACUCUACCCAGCAAAGCUCUCAUUCUGAUUUGAUGAAGAGAUCAAACACUUUUCGGACAAGCAAAAGCUCAGAGAAUUCAGCACCUUCAAACCUACAUCAACCACUAAAGGAAAUUUUCUAAGCAGAAAAGGAAAAGACACAAUUAGAAACAGGAAUAUUACAAAAGAAAACCUCACUGGUAAAGACAAAGAUAAUGUAAAAAUAUGAAAUAACACAUUGAUAAAUAUAGUAUCAAAACUAGCAAGCAUUAGAAGAGGAGAGGACAAAGUCAGAACACUGAAAAUGAAUUUGAAAUAAAGAGACUAGCAACCAGAAAAAAAUCCUGAACUCAUAAAGAUAGUUAUAUCAAAAUAUAAUGGGAACUACCAAUCAAAUAACUAUAAUGGACACACGCAUUAAGCAAAGAAAAAGCAAGCUAAACACAACACUAAAGAUGGCCAGCAUAUCACAAGAGAAGACAACAAAAGAGGAAGGGAAGAAAAAAGACCCAAAGUUACACCCCCCCAAAAAAAACCCCAAAAUUAUAUUAAGUACAUACUUACCCAUAAUACAGUGAAUGUAAAUGGAUUAAAUGCUCCAACUAAAAGUCACAGACUGGCUGAAAGGAUAAAAUAAAGAAUUAUAUGCAUGCUGUUUAUAAGGGACUCACUUCAGAUCUAGGAACACAUACAGAAAAAGUGAGGGUAUAGACAGAAUAUUAAUGCAAAUGGGAAUCAUAGAAAAGCAGGAGUAGCAAUACUCAUAUCAGACAAAAUAGAUUUUAAAAUAAGGUCACAAGAGACAAAAAAGGACAUUACAUAAUGAUCAAAGGAUCAAUCCAAAGACAUAACAAUUAAAAAUAUAUAUACACCCAACAUAGGAGCACCAAAAUAUGUAAUGCAACUACUAACAGCCAUAAAAGAGAAACCGACAGUAACACAACAAUAGUGGAGGACUUUAACACACCACUUACAGCAAUGGACAGAUCAUCCAAAGAGAAAAUCAACAAGGAAACACAGGCCUUAAGUGAUACACAAGAUAAAAUAGACUUAAUUGAUAUCUAUAGGACUUUUCACCCCAAAGCAGCAUAAUAUAUACUUUCUUCUCAAGUGCACAUGGAACAUUCUCCAGUAUAGAUCACAUCUUUGGCCGCAGAUCAAGCCUUGGUAAGUUUUAAAAAAUUAAAGUUAUUUCAAGCAUUUUCUCUGACCACAGUGCUAUGAGACUAGAAAUGAACUAUAAGAAAAAAAAAACAACAUAAAAAAACACAAACACUUAGAAGCUAAACAACGUUCUACUAAAUAACCAGUGGAUCAUUGAAGAAACAAAAGAGGAAAUUAAAAGAUACUUAGAAACAAAUGACAAUGAAGAUACAACAAUCCAAAACCUAUGGGACACAGCAAAAGCAGUGCAAGAGGGAAGUUUGUAGCAUACAACAUUAUCUCAGGAAAGAAGAACAAACUCAAAUAAACAGCAUAACCUUACACCUUAAACAUCUAGGGAAGGAAGAACAGACAAAGCCCAAAAUUAGUAGAAGGGAAGAAAUAAUAAAAAAUUAGAGCAGAAGCUAAUAACAUAGAGACAAAGAAAACAAUAGAGAAGAUCAAUGAAACCAAAAGUUGGUUCUUUGAAAAGAUCAACAAAAUUGAUGAAACUUUAGCUAGAGUCAUCAAGGAAAAAGGGAGAGGAUUCAAAACAAUAAAAUUAGAAAUGGAAAAGAAAUUACAACUGAAACCACAGAAAUAGAAAGGAUCAUAAGAUACUACUAUGAGUAACAGUAUGCCAAUAAGAUGGACAACCUAGAAGACAUGUACAGAUUCUUACAAAGGUACAACUUACAAAGACAGAACCAGGAAGAAAUAGAAAAUAUGAAUAGACCAAUCACAAGCACUGAAAUUGAAAAUAUGAUUUAAAAACUUCCAAAAGAACAAAAGUCCAGGACCUGGUGUCUUCACGGUUGAAUCCUAUCAAACAUUCAAAGAAGAGUUAACACUUCUUAUGAAAUUUCAAAAAAAAAACUGCAGAGGAAGCAACACUCUCAAGCUCAUUCUAUGAAGUCACCAUCACCCUGAUAUAAAAACUGGACAAAGAUACCAGAAUAAAAGAAAAUUGCAGCCCAAUAUUGCUGAUGAACUGAUGUAAAAAUCCUCAACAAAAUAUUAGCAAACUGCAUCCAGAUAUAUAUUAAAAAAUCAUACAGCAUGAUAAAGUAGGAUUUAUCCCAGGGACGCAAGGAUUCUUCAAUAUCUGCAUAUCUACCAAUGUGAUACGCCAUAGCAACAAACUGAAAAGUAAAAACCCUAUGAGCAUCUCAAUAGAUGCAGAAAAGGCUUUUUUCAAAAUUCAACACCAAUUCCUGAUAAAAACUCUCCAGAGAAUGAGAAUAGAGGGGAACUACCUCAAUAAAAUAAAAGCUGUUUAUGACAAAACCACAGUUAACAUCAUUCUCGAUGGUGAAAAACUGAAAUCAUUUCCUCUAAGAUCAGGAACAAGACAAAGAUGUCCACUUUGGCCAAUGUUAUUCAACAUAGUUUUGGAAAUCCUGACUAUGUAAAUCAGAGAAGAAAAAGAAAUAAAAGGAUUCCAAAUUGGAAAAGAAGAAGUAAAACUAUCACUGUUUGCAGAUGACAUGAUACUAUACCUAGAAAAUCCAAAAGACAAUAAUCGGAAAACAGAGUUAAUCAAUGAAUUUGGUAAAGUUGCAGUAACAAAAUUAACACACAGAAAUUUAUUGCAUUUCUAUAUACUAACAAUGAAAGUUCAGAAAGAGAAAUCAGGGAAACCAUCUGAUUUACCAUCACAUCAAAAAGAGUAAAAUACCUAGAAAUAAGCCAACCUAAAGAGACAGAAGACCUGUACUCUGAAAACCGUAAGACACUGAUGAAAUAAAUCAAAGAUGACACAAAUAGAUGGAAAGAUACACUAUGCUCUUGGACUGGAAGAAUUAGUAUAGUCAAAAUGACAAUACUACCUCAGGAAAUCUAGAGAUUCAAUGCAGUCCCUAUGAAACUACCAAUGACAAUCUUUGCAGAACUAGAACAAAAUAUUUUAAAAUUUGUAUGGAAACACAGAAGAUCUUAAAUAGCCAAAGCAAUACUAAAGAAAAAACGGAACUGAAGGAAUCAGGUUCCCUGACUUCAGAUUAUACUACAAAUCUACAGUCAUCAAAACAGUAUGGUACUGGCACAAAACCAGAAAUAUAGAUCAAUGGAGCAGGAUAAGAAGCCCAGAAAUAAACCCAAGUGCAAGAACAUACAGUGGAAGAAAGAUAGUCCCUUUGAUAAGUGAUGCUGGGAAAACUGGACAGCUGCAUAUAAAAGAAUGACAUUAGAACAUUUUCUAACACCAUACACAAAAAUAAACUCAAAAUGGAUUAAAGACCUAAAUGUAAGGUCAGAUAUGUAAAACUUCUAGAGGAAAACAUAGGCAGAAUGCUCUUUGGUAUAAAUCACAGCAAUAUCUUCUUUGAUCCACCUCUUAGAAUAAU
RNAcentral lists this long non-coding RNA (3999 nucleotides) under Sus scrofa (pig). Its description in RNAcentral is "lncRNA (ENSSSCG00000059813.1, ENSSSCG00130031924.1, ENSSSCG00180006350.1)". The record is from RNAcentral. Lineage: Eukaryota; Metazoa; Chordata; Mammalia; Artiodactyla; Suidae.